GGUCAAGUGAAGAAGCGCAUACGGUGGAUGCCUUGGCAGUCAGAGGCGAUGAAAGACGUGGUAGCCUGCGAAAAGCUUCGGGGAGUCGGCAAACAGACUGUGAUCCGGAGAUGUCUGAAUGGGGGAACCCAGCCAUCACAAGAUGGUUAUCUUACACUGAAUACAUAGGUGUAAGAGGCGAACCAGGGGAACUGAAACAUCUAAGUACCCUGAGGAAAAGAAAUCAACCGAGAUUCCCUUAGUAGUGGCGAGCGAACGGGGACCAGCCCUUAAGUUGUAUUGAGAUUAGCGGAACGCUCUGGAAAGUGCGGCCAUAGUGGGUGAUAGCCCUGUACGCGAAAAUCCCUUUGCAAUGAAAUCGAGUAGGACGGGGCACGAGAAACCUUGUCUGAAUAUGGGGGGACCAUCCUCCAAGGCUAAAUACUACUGACUGACCGAUAGUGAACCAGUACCGUGAGGGAAAGGCGAAAAGAACCGCGGAGAGCGGAGUGAAAUAGAUCCUGAAACCGUAUGCGUACAAGCAGUGGGAGCCCACUUUGUUGGGUGACUGCGUACCUUUUGUAUAAUGGGUCAGCGACUUAUUUUCAGUGGCGAGCUUAACCGAAUAGGGGAGGCGUAGCGAAAGCGAGUCUUAAUAGGGCGUCUAGUCGCUGGGAAUAGACCCGAAACCGGGCGAUCUAUCCAUGGGCAGGUUGAAGGUUGGGUAACACUAACUGGAGGACCGAACCGACUACCGUUGAAAAGUUAGCGGAUGACCUGUGGAUCGGAGUGAAAGGCUAAUCAAGCUCGGAGAUAGCUGGUUCUCCUCGAAAGCUAUUUAGGUAGCGCCUCAUGUAUCACUGUAGGGGGUAGAGCACUGUUUCGGCUAGGGGGUCAUCCCGACUUACCAAACCGAUGCAAACUCCGAAUACCUACAAGUGCCGAGCAUGGGAGACACACGGCGGGUGCUAACGUCCGUCGUGAAAAGGGAAACAACCCAGACCGUCAGCUAAGGUCCCAAAGUCAUGGUUAAGUGGGAAACGAUGUGGGAAGGCUUAGACAGCUAGGAGGUUGGCUUAGAAGCAGCCACCCUUUAAAGAAAGCGUAAUAGCUCACUAGUCGAGUCGGCCUGCGCGGAAGAUGUAACGGGGCUCAAACCAUGCACCGAAGCUACGGGUAUCACCUUUGGUGAUGCGGUAGAGGAGCGUUCUGUAAGCCUGUGAAGGUGAGUUGAGAAGCUUGCUGGAGGUAUCAGAAGUGCGAAUGCUGACAUGAGUAACGACAAUGGGUGUGAAAAACACCCACGCCGAAAGACCAAGGUUUCCUGCGCAACGUUAAUCGACGCAGGGUUAGUCGGUCCCUAAGGCGAGGCUGAAAAGCGUAGUCGAUGGAAAACAGGUUAAUAUUCCUGUACUUCUGGUUAUUGCGAUGGAGGGACGGAGAAGGCUAGGCCAGCCUGGCGUUGGUAGUCCAGGUUUAAGGUGGUAGGCUGAGAUCUUAGGUAAAUCCGGGAUCUUAAGGCCGAGAGCUGAUGACGAGUGUUCUUUUAGAACAUGAAGUGGUUGAUGCCAUGCUUCCAAGAAAAGCUUCUAAGCUUCAGGUAACCAGGAACCGUACCCCAAACCGACACAGGUGGUUGGGUAGAGAAUACCAAGGCGCUUGAGAGAACUCGGGUGAAGGAACUAGGCAAAAUGGCACCGUAACUUCGGGAGAAGGUGCGCCGGUGAGGGUGAAGCAUUUACUGCGUAAGCCCACGCCGGUCGAAGAUACCAGGCCGCUGCGACNAGGUUAAUUGAUGGGGUUAGCGCAAGCGAAGCUCUUGAUCGAAGCCCCGGUAAACGGCGGCCGUAACUAUAACGGUCCUAAGGUAGCGAAAUUCCUUGUCGGGUAAGUUCCGACCUGCACGAAUGGCGUAACGAUGGCGGCGCUGUCUCCACCCGAGACUCAGUGAAAUUGAAAUCGCUGUGAAGAUGCAGUGUAUCCGCGGCUAGACGGAAAGACCCCGUGAACCUUUACUAUAGCUUUGCACUGGACUUUGAAUUUGCUUGUGUAGGAUAGGUGGGAGGCUUUGAAGCGUGGACGCUAGUCUGCGUGGAGCCAACCUUGAAAUACCACCCUGGCAACUUUGAGGUUCUAACUCAGGUCCGUUAUCCGGAUCGAGGACAGUGUAUGGUGGGUAGUUUGACUGGGGCGGUCUCCUCCUAAAGAGUAACGGAGGAGUACGAAGGUGCGCUCAGACCGGUCGGAAAUCGGUCGUAGAGUAUAAAGGCAAAAGCGCGCUUGACUGCGAGACAGACACGUCGAGCAGGUACGAAAGUAGGUCUUAGUGAUCCGGUGGUUCUGUAUGGAAGGGCCAUCGCUCAACGGAUAAAAGGUACUCCGGGGAUAACAGGCUGAUACCGCCCAAGAGUUCAUAUCGACGGCGGUGUUUGGCACCUCGAUGUCGGCUCAUCACAUCCUGGGGCUGAAGCCGGUCCCAAGGGUAUGGCUGUUCGCCAUUUAAAGUGGUACGCGAGCUGGGUUUAGAACGUCGUGAGACAGUUCGGUCCCUAUCUGCCGUGGAC
Molecule: ribosomal RNA, 2543 nt
Filed under: Pseudomonas syringae pv. actinidiae ICMP 19071
Lineage: Bacteria; Pseudomonadati; Pseudomonadota; Gammaproteobacteria; Pseudomonadales; Pseudomonadaceae
Description: bacterial LSU rRNA
Rfam family: Bacterial large subunit ribosomal RNA
Source: RNAcentral